Molecule: ribosomal RNA, 492 nt
Filed under: uncultured bacterium
Lineage: Bacteria
Description: partial 16S ribosomal RNA
Rfam family: Bacterial small subunit ribosomal RNA
Source: RNAcentral
AGUGAACGCUGGCGGUAGGCCUAACACAUGCAAGUCGAACGGCAGCACAGUAAGCGCUUGCUCUUACGGGUGGCGAGUGGCGGACGGGUGAGGAAUACAUCGGAAUCUACUUUUUCGUGGGGGAUAACGUAGGGAAACUUACGCUACUACCGCAUACGACCUACGGGUGAAAGCAGGGGAUCUUCGGACCUUGCGCGAUUGAAUGAGCCGAUGUCGGAUUAGCUAGUUGGCGGGGUAAAGGCCCACCAAGGCGACGAUCCGUAGCUGGUCUGAGAGGAUGAUCAGCCACACUGGAACUGAGACACGGUCCAGACUCCUACGGGAGGCAGCAGUAGGGAAUAUUCGACAAUGGGCGAAAGCCUGACCCAGCCAUACCGCGUGGGUGAAGAAGGCCUUCGGGUCGUAAAGCCCUUUUGUUGGGAAAGAAAAGCAGCAGGUGAAUACCCCGCUGUCCUGACGGUACCUAAUGAAUAAGCACCGGCUAACUUCGUG